AACGCGAAGAACCUUACCAAGGCUUGACAUAUACGAGAACGGGCGAGAGAUCGUCAACUCUUUGGACACUCGUAAACAGGUGGUGCAUGGUUGUCGUCAGCUCGUGUCGUGAGAUGUUCGGUUAAGUCCGGCAACGAGCGCAACCCUCGUCCUAUGUUGCCAGCACGUUAUGGUGGGAACUCAUGGGAUACUGCCGUGGUCAACACGGAGGAAGGUGGGGAUGACGUCAAAUCAUCAUGCCCCUUAUGUCUUGGGCUUCACGCAUGCUACAAUGGCCGAUACAAUGGGCUGCGAUACCGCGAGGUGGAGCGAAUCCCAAAAAGUCGGUCUCAGUUCGGAUUGGGGUCUGCAACUCGACCCCAUGAAGUCGGAGUCGCUAGUAAUCGCAGAUCAGCAACGCUGCGGUGAAUACGUUCCCGGGCCUUGUACACACCGCGCAUA
This 441-nucleotide ribosomal RNA is filed under the name uncultured bacterium. RNAcentral's name for it is "bacterial SSU rRNA". It matches the Rfam family "Bacterial small subunit ribosomal RNA", at positions 958 to 1398 of the family's 1533-position model. The record is from RNAcentral.